AGUUUCUCUCUGAACAUUUAUUCCACAGUCAUAGAAACUGAAGAUGGAAAAGACCUGAGGACAUCUAGUCCAUCCAUGUGAUUGUACAAGAAAAGUGGCUGGAGCAAAACAGCCUGUUCACUUCAUGCUCACAAGACAGCAUUUCAGUCCUUCCUGGAGUGGAGCGAUUGCACACACAUUAAAGUGAAGACACAAUGCAAACACUCUUUACAAACCUUAAGAAAAUACUUAUAGAACAUGGAGGCAAUUCAAGCAAUGCUGACAACAGUAAGCCUGCUUUCAGCCCCUGCAGCUUCUGGCCGCAUCCUGGCUGCAGUUUUGGCCACAUAGUUCAUCAGGAGAUAUUUGAGAAGCCAUGCCCUGGUCAUCUACUUUGUGGAUGGGCAGGGUGGUCUGGCAUGUUAUCACCACUGCUCAGAAUGCCUCAGGAGAGAAGCUUAAGGUAAACCUGAUAUACAAAAAUUCAAACUUACAAAACAGAUACAUUAAGGGAUAAUUAAUUGCAUUACAAAAGGAUUCUUUACAAAAGAAUUCACCUCUGGGUUCCUUUAAGUAGCCAGCUUCUCAAGUAGUCAGAAUCUAAGCUGAGUUAUAAAAGUGUCCACGUACGUUAGGAGCAUGGCUGUUACGUGAGUUGAGGUACACCUGUACGUCAGCCUUCUGGGCUGUGUAGAGGUUAGCAGUGCAGAGCAUGGUGGCAGAGUCUUGAGAGCAUCCUUAGCUGUUGCAGGUGGGAUUGGAUGGCUAAGGGGCAUAGUCUUUCAAAGGCAGCUGCAAACCUGCUUCUGGGUCUGGGGUGAGAACAUGGGAAGAUGGGCAUUUCAAGACAGAGUUGUCCUUUCUGUUUCCAGGGCUCACUGUCCCCUCGUUGUUGAAUGGUUUCAUCUGUGUGGUUGAUUAAGUCUAACAUUAGAAGAACCCUCCCUCAUCAGACUGUCUAAGCCUAUAUCCACCCAGGGGUUUCUCAGACAACUAACUAAUUGCUUAUCUUACUUGCAGCUUGAAGUGUUAUCUUUCCCUGGGGUCCUGGGCAGCUCUUAGUGGGAAUUCAGGGAUUGCGUCCAAAAGUAGGGGAAGAAAUUUUGCAUUUAAGGAGCUUUUGCAAUGAUCUGCAACUUACAGAACAUAGUGCUUGGCACAGUGGUAAGUCACUGUAGGCCUCAAAUUGAUUGGGAUGGAGCAAAGAUGAUAAGCAACUGAGAAAAUAAAGCAAGUAAUUGAUAGACA
RNAcentral lists this long non-coding RNA (1227 nucleotides) under Bos mutus (wild yak). Its description in RNAcentral is "lncRNA (ENSBMUG00000018536.1)". The record is from RNAcentral. Lineage: Eukaryota; Metazoa; Chordata; Mammalia; Artiodactyla; Bovidae.